This 690-nucleotide ribosomal RNA is filed under the name uncultured Acidobacteriota bacterium. RNAcentral describes it as "bacterial SSU rRNA". It matches the Rfam family "Bacterial small subunit ribosomal RNA", at positions 15 to 736 of the family's 1533-position model. Lineage: Bacteria; Pseudomonadati; Acidobacteriota. The record is from RNAcentral.
GAUCCUGGCUCAGAAUCAACGCUGGCGGCGCGCUUAACACAUGCAAGUCGCACGAGAAAGGGGAGCAAUCCCUGAGUAAAGUGGCGUACGGGUGAGUAACACGUGGAUGAUCUACCUUCUAGUGGGGAAUAACCCAGGGAAACCGGGGCUAAUACCGCAUGAGCUCGAGAGAGGAAAGCAGCAAUGCGCUGGAAGAGGAGUCCGCGGCCGACUAGCUAGUUGGCAGGGUAAAAGCCUACCAAGGCAGAGAUCGGUAGCCGGCCUGAGAGGGCACACGGCCACACUGGCACUGAAACACGGGCCAGACUCCUACGGGAGGCAGCAGUGGGGAAUCUUGCACAAUGGGGGAAACCCUGAUGCAGCGACGCCGCGUGAGCGAUGAAGCCCUUCGGGGUGUAAAGCUCUUUCGGCAGGGAAGAUGAUGACGGUACCUGCAGAAGCAGCUGCGGCUAACUACGUGCCAGCAGCCGCGGUAAUACGUAGGCAGCGAGCGUUGUUCGGAGUUACUGGGCGUAAAGGGUGUGUAGGCGGUUGUUUAAGUUUGGUGUGAAAUCUCCCGGCUCAACUGGGAGGGUGCGCCGAAUACUGAAUGACUUGGAGUGCGGGAGAGGUGAGUGGAAUUCCUGGUGUAGCGGUGAAAUGCGUAGAUAUCAGGAGGAACACCGGUGGUGUAGACGGCUCACUGGACCG